GCAGCGGUGCCCGACUGAUUAAGGCGAUUGACUAGAAAUCAAUUGGGUUGUGCAUGCACAGGUUCGAAUCCUGCCGCUGCG
Molecule: transfer RNA, 81 nt
Filed under: Trichuris muris
Lineage: Eukaryota; Metazoa; Nematoda; Enoplea; Trichinellida; Trichuridae
Description: snRNA TMUE_0100000465
Rfam family: tRNA
About the family: Transfer RNA (tRNA) molecules are approximately 80 nucleotides in length. Their secondary structure includes four short double-helical elements and three loops (D, anti-codon, and T loops).
Source: RNAcentral